CCUACGGGAGGCAGCAGUGAGGAAUAUUGGUCAAUGGUCGGGAGACUGAACCAGCCAAGCCGCGUGAGGGAGGAAGGUACAGAGUAUCGUAAACCUCUUUUGUCAGGGAACAAAGGCGGGGACGUGUCCCCGGAUGAGUGUACCUGAAGAAAAAGCAUCGGCUAACUCCGUGCCAGCAGCCGCGGUAAUACGGGGGAUGCGAGUGUUGUCCGGAUUGAUUGGGUUUAAGGGGUGCGCAGUGGGUCUGUUAAGUCAGCGGUCAAAGCCCGGGGCUCAACCCCGGCCCGCCGUUGAAACUGGCAGUCUCGAGUUGGAGAGAAGUAUGCGGAAUGCGCGGUGUAGCGGUGAAAUGCAUAGAUAUCGCGCAGAACUCCGAUUGCGAAGGCAGCAUGCCGGCUCCACACUGACGCUGAGGCACGAAAGCGUGGGUAUCGAACAGGAUUAGAUACCCCUGUAGUC
This 459-nucleotide ribosomal RNA is filed under the name uncultured bacterium. Its description in RNAcentral is "partial 16S ribosomal RNA". It matches the Rfam family "Bacterial small subunit ribosomal RNA", at positions 338 to 795 of the family's 1533-position model. The record is from RNAcentral.